CUCAAAUCAGGUAGGACUACCCGCUGAACUUAAGCAUAUCAAU
This 43-nucleotide ribosomal RNA is filed under the name Papiliotrema laurentii. Its description in RNAcentral is "partial 28S ribosomal RNA". Lineage: Eukaryota; Fungi; Basidiomycota; Tremellomycetes; Tremellales; Rhynchogastremaceae. The record is from RNAcentral.